This 390-nucleotide ribosomal RNA is filed under the name uncultured Mycobacterium sp. RNAcentral describes it as "bacterial SSU rRNA". It matches the Rfam family "Bacterial small subunit ribosomal RNA", at positions 505 to 891 of the family's 1533-position model. The record is from RNAcentral. Lineage: Bacteria; Bacillati; Actinomycetota; Actinomycetes; Mycobacteriales; Mycobacteriaceae.
GUGCCAGCAGCCGCAGGUAAUACGUAGGGUGCGAGCGUUGUCCGGAAUUACUGGGCGUAAAGAGCUCGUAGGUGGUUUGUCGCGUUGUUCGUGAAAUCUCACGGCUUAACUGUGAGCGUGCGGGCGAUACGGGCAGACUAGAGUACUGCAGGGGAGACUGGAAUUCCUGGUGUAGCGGUGGAAUGCGCAGAUAUCAGGAGGAACACCGGUGGCGAAGGCGGGUCUCUGGGCAGUAACUGACGCUGAGGAGCGAAAGCGUGGGGAGCGAACAGGAUUAGAUACCCUGGUAGUCCACGCCGUAAACGGUGGGUACUAGGUGUGGGUUUCCUUCCUUGGGAUCCGUGCCGUAGCUAACGCAUUAAGUACCCCGCCUGGGGAGUACGGCCGCAA